Molecule: ribosomal RNA, 449 nt
Filed under: uncultured bacterium
Lineage: Bacteria
Description: partial 16S ribosomal RNA
Rfam family: Bacterial small subunit ribosomal RNA
Source: RNAcentral
AGCGAACGCUGGCGGCAGGCCUAACACAUGCAAGUCGAACGAAGUCUUCGGACUCAGUGGCGGACGGGUGAGUAACACGUGGGAACGUGCCUUUAGGUUCGGAAUAACUCAGGGAAACUUGUGCUAAUACCGAAUGUGCCCUUCGGGGGAAAGAUUUAUCGCCUUUAGAGCGGCCCGCGUCUGAUUAGCUAGUUGGUGAGGUAAAGGCUCACCAAGGCGACGAUCAGUAGCUGGUCUGAGAGGAUGAUCAGCCACAUUGGGACUGAGACACGGCCCAAACUCCUACGGGAGGCAGCAGUGGGGAAUCUUGCGCAAUGGGCGAGAGCCUGACGCAGCCAUGCCGCGUGAAUGAUGAAGGUCUUAGGAUUGUAAAAUUCUUUCACCGGGGACGAUAAUGACGGUACCCGGAGAAGAAGCCCCGGCUAACUUCGUGCCAGCCGCCGCAGUAA